GUUAAACCGUCGAAGGAGAAGAGUACUGUGCUUGAAAUCCUGCAGAGAGGAGCCGGUUGGUGCAAGGCUUUGGACGAAGAGCAUGGGAAUGGACUCACGAGGUCGGGAAGAAAGGGAGAGAUCCUUAUUAAUGCCCGACGGACUGCACUUCCGUUAUCAGGUGCACCGUAUUUAGUGUGAAUCACAGUACGGAUUGAGUGGCACGUAUGUGCAAUUCGGGUGGUACCGCAGAAUAUUCUGUCCCGGGC
Molecule: non-coding RNA, 248 nt
Filed under: Lachnospiraceae bacterium
Lineage: Bacteria; Bacillati; Bacillota; Clostridia; Lachnospirales; Lachnospiraceae
Description: T-box sequence
Rfam family: T-box leader
About the family: Uncharged tRNA acts as the effector for transcription antitermination of genes in the T-box leader family.
Source: RNAcentral